This 893-nucleotide ribosomal RNA is filed under the name uncultured bacterium. Its description in RNAcentral is "bacterial SSU rRNA". It matches the Rfam family "Bacterial small subunit ribosomal RNA", at positions 8 to 916 of the family's 1533-position model. The record is from RNAcentral.
AGAGUUUGAUCCUGGCUCAGGACGAACGCUGGCGGCGUGCUUAACACAUGCAAGUCGAACGAACUCGACCUUCGGGUCAUAUGAGUGAGUGGCGAACGGGUGAGUAACACGUGAGAAACCUGCCCCGAAGUUUGGGAUAACCCAGGGAAACUUGGGCUAAUACCAAAUACCCUCUUCGGAUCGCAUGAUCCGAUGAGGAAAGAUUUAUCGCUUUGGGAGGGUCUCGCGGCCUAUCAGCUAGUUGGUGAGGUAACGGCUCACCAAGGCAUCGACGGGUAGCUAGUCUGAGAGGACGAAUAGCCACACUGGGACUGAGACACGGCCCAGACUCCUACGGGAGGCAGCAGUGGGGAAUCUUGCACAAUGGGCGAAAGCCUGGUGCAGCGACGCCGCGUGGGGGAUGAAGGCCCUAGGGUCGUAAACCCCUUUCAGCAGGGACGAAAAUGACGGUACCUGCAGAAGAAGCCCCGGCCAACUACGUGCCAGCAGCCGCGGUAAGACGUAGGGGGCGAGCGUUGUCCGGAUUUAUUGGGCGUAAAGGGCUCGUAGGUGGUUGCGUAAGUCGGAUGUGAAAACUCAGGGCUCAACUCUGAGACGCCAUCCGAUACUGCGCUGACUUGAGUCCGGUAGAGGAGUGUGGAAUUCCUAGUGUAGCGGUGAAAUGCGCAGAUAUUAGGAGGAACACCAAUUGCGAAGGCAGCACUCUGGGCCGGUACUGACACUGAGGAGCGAAAGCGUGGGUAGCAAACAGGAUUAGAUACCCUGGUAGUCCACGCCGUAAACGGUGGGCACUAGGUGUGGGAUCUUUCAACGGAUUCCGUGCCGUAGCUAACGCAUUAAGUGCCCCGCCUGGGGAGUACGGCCGCAAGGCUAAAACUUAAAGGAAUUGAUGG